This 679-nucleotide ribosomal RNA is filed under the name Pseudomonas sp. EECC-413. RNAcentral describes it as "bacterial SSU rRNA". It matches the Rfam family "Bacterial small subunit ribosomal RNA", at positions 87 to 762 of the family's 1533-position model. The record is from RNAcentral. Lineage: Bacteria; Pseudomonadati; Pseudomonadota; Gammaproteobacteria; Pseudomonadales; Pseudomonadaceae.
UCUUGAGAGCGGCGGACGGGUGAGUAAUGCCUAGGAAUCUGCCUGGUAGUGGGGGAUAACGUCCGGAAACGGACGCUAAUACCGCAUACGUCCUACGGGAGAAAGCAGGGGACCUUCGGGCCUUGCGCUAUCAGAUGAGCCUAGGUCGGAUUAGCUAGUUGGUGGGGUAAUGGCUCACCAAGGCGACGAUCCGUAACUGGUCUGAGAGGAUGAUCAGUCACACUGGAACUGAGACACGGUCCAGACUCCUACGGGAGGCAGCAGUGGGGAAUAUUGGACAAUGGGCGAAAGCCUGAUCCAGCCAUGCCGCGUGUGUGAAGAAGGUCUUCGGAUUGUAAAGCACUUUAAGUUGGGAGGAAGGGCAGUAAAUUAAUACUUUGCUGUUUUGACGUUACCGACAGAAUAAGCACCGGCUAACUCUGUGCCAGCAGCCGCGGUAAUACAGAGGGUGCAAGCGUUAAUCGGAAUUACUGGGCGUAAAGCGCGCGUAGGUGGUUCGUUAAGUUGGAUGUGAAAUCCCCGGGCUCAACCUGGGAACUGCAUUCAAAACUGACGAGCUAGAGUAUGGUAGAGGGUGGUGGAAUUUCCUGUGUAGCGGUGAAAUGCGUAGAUAUAGGAAGGAACACCAGUGGCGAAGGCGACCACCUGGACUGAUACUGACACUGAGGUGCGAAAGCGU